Molecule: unclassified non-coding RNA, 201 nt
Filed under: Hevea brasiliensis (rubber tree)
Lineage: Eukaryota; Viridiplantae; Streptophyta; Magnoliopsida; Malpighiales; Euphorbiaceae
Rfam family: Bacterial large subunit ribosomal RNA
Source: RNAcentral
CGUAAGUGAACGAAAACUAGGGUAAGCUCACAAAAAGCUCUGACCCCUAGGUCUCCGAAUGGGGAAACCCGGCUAUGGAAGACAUAGUCAUCACUAAGUGAAUACAUAGCUUAGUGAAGUAAGACCCUGUGAACUGAAACAUCUAAGUAACAGGAGGAAAAGAAAGAAAACUCGAUUUUCCAAGUAGCGGCGAGCGAAAAG